This 1189-nucleotide long non-coding RNA is filed under the name Phasianus colchicus (ring-necked pheasant). RNAcentral's name for it is "lncRNA (ENSPCLG00000003480.1)". The record is from RNAcentral. Lineage: Eukaryota; Metazoa; Chordata; Aves; Galliformes; Phasianidae.
AUGCUUUGCAGCCUCUUGCAGAGACAUCUGGCAGAUACCCCCAGCUGCAGUUGGGUUCCUGCUCUGCAGAUCAAGGACACCUUUCCUCAUCUACCCCUGCUGCACAGGAGGGAUUAUGAUACCAGAAAAAAAUUCUCAUUUCACUCUCUCCAGUUUUCCAAGAACUGGAGGCAGCAGAGCAGCCACACAGUGCAGGAUGCUUCUGGCAAUUUCCAAAGUGCUGUGAGAAGGAUAUGCCAAGAAUUCUAUAUCUAAACAUCCACCAAAUGUCCUCUGUCUCUAUAAAAGUCUGUGGGCCCCUUACCCUGAAAGCUAGAAAACUUUUUUUAUGCAUAACUAUAUCAGAAUUGCCUUUGUGCAAAUUUGGGCCUUUUGACUGAUAGGAGGAAACUGCCCAGAAAGCUCCUUGGAGUGAAUCUCCUUUUCCCUGCCUUUGCCCUAGACCUGUGGUCACCAAACCAGACAUCCUAUCUGCUGUCGAAGGCUGAAACUCCAUCCUCUACUUGUCUUUUUGGCAUUCUCAUUAUACUGAGCCCUCCCUGACAUGGCUUUCAGUAAGGAGGGAUUCACUCUUAUCUGAAUGAGUGCUGUCUGGAGGAAUGCAAGAUAGAAAGCACUGAACAGAACCAUAUUCACCCUGCCACUAUGCAUUAGACUUAAAAAGCUGUCUUUGAAAUCGAUAUUAGUCAUGCUCAAAUGCAGUGCUCUUUUCAGAUUUUUUCAAGAUUUGCACCAAAUUAACAAUAUCUAUUUUCAUAAUGGCUUUCAGGCUGAGAUUUCAAAACGUUUACAUGUGGUGGAUGAGCACUGAUGGGUAACUUGCAGAUGACUCAGAUUUAGUGGCAAAGCAGAAACAGAACUGAAGUUUCCUACUGAGCACACCCUGAUACAGGAGGGCAAAAUGCUGCCCUGUGUUUUGGCUUGCCCAUAUGCACAAUGUAAGAAAGGUAAUUAGCGGAAGGUGAUAGUUUACAUGGUGUGACAACUGGGGUAGAUUGGGGGAUCAGACCUAUUUUUUCAUUUCGUAUCUGUCUAGUACCCAACACGCUGUGUCUUUCUAUUUCCAAUGAGCUGUUAGUGAUAACAGUAUCAUCAGAAUUCAGAGCAGCCUCUGCAAUUUCUGACCAAAUAUUUCUUCUGCAUUUUAAAUAUCUGAUCAUAAUAAAAGUGAAUAAAGAUGUAGUCUGCA